Molecule: non-coding RNA, 87 nt
Organism: Pangasianodon gigas (Mekong giant catfish)
Lineage: Eukaryota; Metazoa; Chordata; Actinopteri; Siluriformes; Pangasiidae
Source: the annotation of a GenBank genome assembly
GCAGUCGUGGCCUAAUGGAUAGAGAGUCGGACUUGUAACCUGAAGGUGAACCUGAAGGUCGUGGGUUCGAGUCCGGCAGGGAUUGUA